Molecule: ribosomal RNA, 921 nt
Filed under: Triticum aestivum (bread wheat)
Lineage: Eukaryota; Viridiplantae; Streptophyta; Magnoliopsida; Poales; Poaceae
Description: partial small subunit ribosomal RNA
Source: RNAcentral
AUGGCUGCCAAAACCACAUCAUGCUUUACUUUCCUAAAGGAAGCGCUGACCCUCCCCACGUUAAACCCCAAGCUCUUCACGCCCUUGUUCCUCCUCUUUGCCGCCGCCGCCUUCCUUGACCACAUAGUCAAUUUCGUGUUCGUCCAGCCUCUCGCCGACGUCGUGGCCAGCCAUGCCACCGAGGUCAACAACACCGACUUCUCGAGCGCCGAACACGCCAAGCUCAUGGAGAUGGAGGGGCCAAAGCAAGACGGCAUGAGGCUCAUCCUCAUCGCCUUCUCCGAGGUGAUCGUCGCCCUGGCGGUCGGCUUCGUCAAGAAGAUCCUCUUCCUCUUCGCGGCCUCCACGACCUACUCCGGCGACCGCUACUCGCUGGCAGAGCUCCUGCGCGAGCUGGUCAAGGGGUGGAUCAGCCUGAAGGGCCCUUCCAUCACCAUCGCCGUCGUCGACGCGCUUGACUUCGCAUCGGCGGUCCUGGCCGCGCUGAUUAUUCCUGCUCCCGCCCUGAUGGCCGGGCUCUCGGGGGUUCUCUCCGUCCAGGGUCUCGUCUACCUCAUCGCGCUCCUCACCUCCCUCUACUUUACCGCCGUGGGGUUGGUGGGCGUCGCCGCGUCGGUGGUCGACAGGAGGUGCCGCGGCGUGGGGGCGCUCCGGCAGGCGUGGCGGCUCGUGACGCUGGUGAGGAGAAAGGAGGGCCUCCUGCUGGUGCUCGUGGCGCACUUCGUGCCGACCGCCGUGGCUCCGCUGUACCGGGUUGCUCUUGUGUAUGCCAAGACGAGCAUGGCGGUGUGCUUCUGCUUGUUGGCCGUGCAUGCUUUUCUGUCUUGUGCGCUGCAGCUCCUCUCUUUGACGGCAGCCACGGUGUACUACUACCAAGCCAUGCAGAGCAAGGAGGUGAUCGAUGCCUUGCGGUUGUGCUAA